Molecule: ribosomal RNA, 253 nt
Filed under: uncultured Acidobacteriota bacterium
Lineage: Bacteria; Pseudomonadati; Acidobacteriota
Description: uncultured Acidobacteria bacterium partial 16S ribosomal RNA
Rfam family: Bacterial small subunit ribosomal RNA
Source: RNAcentral
UACAGAGAGGGCAAGCGUUAUUCGGAAUUAUUGGGCAUAAAGGGCGCGUAGACGGCUUCGCAAGUGGAAGGUGAAAUCCCUCGGCUUAACCGAGGAACUGCCCUCCAAACUGCGUUGCUUAAAACCAAGAAAGGUGAGUGGAAUUCCCAGUGUAGCGGUGAAAUGCGUAGAUAUUGGGAGGAACACCAGUGGCGAAGGCGGCUCACUGGACCGGUUCUGACGCUGAGACGCGAAAGCGUGGGGAGCAAACGGG